RNAcentral lists this ribosomal RNA (316 nucleotides) under uncultured Prevotella sp. RNAcentral's name for it is "partial 16S ribosomal RNA". The record is from RNAcentral. Lineage: Bacteria; Pseudomonadati; Bacteroidota; Bacteroidia; Bacteroidales; Prevotellaceae.
GGAGUUUGGACCGUGUCUCAGUUCCAAUGUGGGGGACCUUCCUCUCAGAACCCCUACUGAUCGCAGGCUUGGUGGGCCGUUACCCCGCCAACAACCUAAUCAGACGCAUCCCCAUCCUAUAGCGGUAAACCUUUGGUAUUCGUCAGAUGUCAUCAAAAUACAACAUAGGGUAUUAAUCCGCAUUUCUACGGGCUAUCCCCUACUAUAGGGAAGGUUGGAUACGCGUUACUCACCAGUGCGCCGGUCGCCGGCGGCGUGUUGCCACGCCCCGAUGCCCCUCGACUUGCAUGUGUUAAGCCUGUCGCUAGCGUUCAUC